UUAUCCGGAUUUACUGGGUGUAAAGGGAGCGUAGACGGCACGGCAAGCCAGAUGUGAAAGCCCGGGGCUCAACCCCGGGACUGCAUUUGGAACUGCUGAGCUAGAGUGUCGGAGAGGCAAGUGGAAUUCCUAGUGUAGCGGUGAAAUGCGUAGAUAUUAGGAGGAACACCAGUGGCGAAGGCGGCUUGCUGGACGAUGACUGACGUUGAGGCUCGAAAGCGUGGGGAGCAAACAGGAUUAGAUACCCUGGUAGUCCACGCCGUAAACGAUGACUGCUAGGUGUCGGGUGGCAAAGCCAUUCGGUGCCGCACUAGACGCCAUAAG
RNAcentral lists this ribosomal RNA (324 nucleotides) under uncultured bacterium. RNAcentral describes it as "bacterial SSU rRNA". It matches the Rfam family "Bacterial small subunit ribosomal RNA", at positions 541 to 864 of the family's 1533-position model. The record is from RNAcentral.